Molecule: ribosomal RNA, 116 nt
Filed under: Lysinibacillus odysseyi
Lineage: Bacteria; Bacillati; Bacillota; Bacilli; Caryophanales; Bacillaceae
Also listed under: 2 other names
Source: RNAcentral
UCUAGUGAUGAUGGCAGAGAGGUCACACCCGUUCCCAUACCGAACACGGAAGUUAAGCUCUCUAGCGCCGAUGGUAGUUGGGGGCUUCCCCCUGUGAGAGUAGGACAUCGCUAGGC